GUUUGAUCCUGGCUCAGGACGAACGCUGGCGGCGUGCUUAACACAUGCAAGUCGAACGCUGAAGCCUGCAGCUUGCUGUGGGUGGAUGAGUGGCGAACGGGUGAGUAACACGUGAGUAACCUGCCCCUGACUCUGGGAUAAGCCCGGGAAACUGGGUCUAAUACCGGAUAUGACCAUUCUCCGCAUGGAGUGGUGGUGGAAAGUUUUUCGGUUGGGGAUGGGCUCGCGGCCUAUCAGCUUGUUGGUGGGGUGAUGGCCUACCAAGGCGACGACGGGUAGCCGGCCUGAGAGGGCGACCGGCCACACUGGGACUGAGACACGGCCCAGACUCCUACGGGAGGCAGCAGUGGGGAAUAUUGCACAAUGGGGGAAACCCUGAUGCAGSGACGCCGCGUGGGGGAUGACGGCCUUCGGGUUGUAAACCUCUUUCAGUAGGGAAGAAGCC
This 445-nucleotide ribosomal RNA is filed under the name Brevibacterium sp. R-45585. RNAcentral describes it as "bacterial SSU rRNA". It matches the Rfam family "Bacterial small subunit ribosomal RNA", at positions 11 to 452 of the family's 1533-position model. Lineage: Bacteria; Bacillati; Actinomycetota; Actinomycetes; Micrococcales; Brevibacteriaceae. The record is from RNAcentral.